Molecule: microRNA precursor, 64 nt
Filed under: Gallus gallus (chicken)
Lineage: Eukaryota; Metazoa; Chordata; Aves; Galliformes; Phasianidae
Description: microRNA gga-mir-129 precursor (gga-mir-129-2, gga-mir-129-3)
Gene: gga-mir-129-2
Rfam family: mir-129 microRNA precursor family
About the family: The mature sequence is excised from the 5' arm of the hairpin.
Source: miRBase by way of RNAcentral
CUUUUUGCGGUCUGGGCUUGCUGUGCCCCACAGCUCUCAGGAAGCCCUUACCCCAAAAAGGAUC